UUUCUACUCCCUCCGUCCAAAAAUACUUGUCAUCAAAAUGGAUAAAAAGAGAUGUAUCUAAAACUAAAAUACGUCUAGAUACAUUUCCUUUUAUCCAUUUUGAUGACAAGUAUUUCUGGACGGAGGGAGUAUUUG
Triticum aestivum (bread wheat) is the source of this 135-nucleotide non-coding RNA. The record is from Rfam. Lineage: Eukaryota; Viridiplantae; Streptophyta; Magnoliopsida; Poales; Poaceae.